RNAcentral lists this unclassified non-coding RNA (500 nucleotides) under uncultured Glomus. RNAcentral describes it as "SSU rRNA". It matches the Rfam family "Eukaryotic small subunit ribosomal RNA", at positions 591 to 1092 of the family's 1831-position model. The record is from RNAcentral. Lineage: Eukaryota; Fungi; Glomeromycota; Glomeromycetes; Glomerales; Glomeraceae.
CCAAUAGCGUAUAUUAAAGUUGUUGCAGUUAAAAAGCUCGUAGUUGAAUUUCGGGGUUAGUAGGUUGGUCCUGCCUCUGGUAUGUACUGGUCUCACUGAUUCCUCCUUCCUGAUGAGCCGUAAUGCCAUUAAUUUGGUGUUGCGGGGAAUUUGGACUGUUACUUUGAAAAAAUUAGAGUGUUUAAAGCAAGCUAACGCUUGAAUACAUUAGCAUGGAAUAAUGAAAUGGGACGUUCGAUCCUAUUUUGUUGGUUUCUAGGAUUGACGUAAUGAUUAAUAGGGAUAGUUGGGGGCAUUAGUAUUCAAUUGUCAGAGGUGAAAUUCUUGGAUUUAUUGAAGACUAACUACUGCGAAAGCAUUUGCCAAGGAUGUUUUCAUUAAUCAAGAACGAAAGUUAGGGGAUCGAAGACGAUCAGAUACCGUCGUAGUCUUAACCAUAAACUAUGCCGACUAGGGAUCGGAUGAUGUUAAUUUUUUAAUGACUCAUUCGGCGCCUUACG